UAAGGUGGUUAUUGCGUCGGGGCUCACCUCUUCCCAUCCCGAACAGAGAAGUUAAGCCCGACUGCGCAGAUGGUACUGCAAUUUGUGGGAGAGUAUGUCGUCGCCUUUC
This 109-nucleotide ribosomal RNA is filed under the name Flavobacterium sp. AG291. Lineage: Bacteria; Pseudomonadati; Bacteroidota; Flavobacteriia; Flavobacteriales; Flavobacteriaceae. The record is from RNAcentral.